GGCCACAUCAUGUGGAAACAGCAGUUCCCGUACGAUCACCGAAGUUAAGCAACGUCGAAACUGGUCAGUACUUAGAUGGAUGACGGCUUGGGAAUACCAGGUACGGUA
Molecule: non-coding RNA, 108 nt
Organism: Acanthosepion pharaonis
Lineage: Eukaryota; Metazoa; Mollusca; Cephalopoda; Sepiida; Sepiidae
Source: the annotation of a GenBank genome assembly